This 497-nucleotide ribosomal RNA is filed under the name uncultured bacterium. RNAcentral's name for it is "partial 16S ribosomal RNA". It matches the Rfam family "Bacterial small subunit ribosomal RNA", at positions 28 to 507 of the family's 1533-position model. The record is from RNAcentral.
GGUGAACGCUGGCGGCGGGCCUAAUACAUGCCAGUCGAACGGAAGCACAGUGAGCGUUCGCCUCUAAGGUUGGCGGGUGGCGGGUGGGUGACGCGUGGAUCACCUUCCUCUUAUUCUUGGGGGACAUCGGGGAAACGCGUCUGAUACCGGCGCAUAUGUUCUACCGGAUGGAUCAAUGGUGCAAGGCAGUUUUUGCGUUUCUUAUAGCUGGUUUCGCGCCGCAUUAGCUAGUUGGUAAGGGAACGGCUUACCAAGGCAACGAUGCGUAGCCGACCUGAGAGGGUGAUCGGCCACACUGGAACUGAGACACGGUCCAGACUCCUACGGGAGGCAGCAGUAGGGAAUCUUCCGCAAUGGGCGAAAGCCUGACGGAGCAACGCCGCGUGAGUGAUGAAGGUCUUCGGAUCGUAAAACUCUGUUAUUAGGGAAGAACAAAUGUGUAAGUAACUAUGCACGUCUUGACGGUACCUAAUCAGAAAGCCACGGCUAACUACGUG